UAACAUGGAUUUUAGUUGACUAAAACAAGCUGUUAGCAGACAAGUAAAGUUAACUAGCUAGCUACCAAACUUCCAAAGCAGUUGGCUAACGUUAGCUAUCGAACGUUAGCUAGCUAACCAAGCAUAGUAAAAUACAGCAAAGGAGACAAGCGGCUAUUGAUUUUUAAAAAACGUUAUUGAUACAAUUCGUUUUUGGGACCUGCCGGAAGUCUCUUUGUGCAAGGGAAUGAUGCAUCACCAAAUGAGGGCAUGGAUUUCCAACAACUCAUGUCAUAGCCAGGCUGAAUCAGAUGCCGGUCUACAACACGGUGGCUGAUAUGGACGAAAGACUGAUGACACAAGUAGCUCAACUAGCUAUUCCAACAACAACAGCAGCAGCUACAGCUAAGCACUUCUGCAGCGACUGCACUUGAAAGGAUGAUGGGCGAUCGUCAGUCAAAAAGGAAUGAGCUAUCCCGGGCAGUAAGGGAUCCACACAUUAAUGCUGGUGAGGAGGACAAAUAUAGUAUAAGCCGCAAGAAAAGUGAAGACAAAUGUGAUCACUUAUGACUUGGAAUUUGACAAUAGUGUUUUGGGGGGAAAAGUCCAACCAAGCAAUCAGGGAACAAGAGUCCGCACAACACCUGUGUACUGUCUGCUGGUCAGUCAGCUGAGAUGAAGGUGCACAGAUGGAGAGUGGCGCAUGGCAGAAUUUGAAGGCGAGUAGUCCUAUGAAGACAUGGACUGACUG
Molecule: long non-coding RNA, 730 nt
Organism: Salmo salar (Atlantic salmon)
Lineage: Eukaryota; Metazoa; Chordata; Actinopteri; Salmoniformes; Salmonidae
Source: RefSeq, a predicted model, not a curated record